CCCCUCUCAGGGUUGCACCUGGAGAGUUUCCAGGCCUCUACCAAUCUCAGCUAUUGGAGGAAGAGUCAAGCAGAGGCCUAUCCAUUCCAUUCCUAGCUUGAGCAUUGGCUAGCGAGUGGCAGACCAUCUGCUACAAGU
This 138-nucleotide small nucleolar RNA is filed under the name Ornithorhynchus anatinus (platypus). The record is from RNAcentral. Lineage: Eukaryota; Metazoa; Chordata; Mammalia; Monotremata; Ornithorhynchidae.